RNAcentral lists this ribosomal RNA (466 nucleotides) under uncultured bacterium. Its description in RNAcentral is "partial 16S ribosomal RNA". It matches the Rfam family "Bacterial small subunit ribosomal RNA", at positions 29 to 506 of the family's 1533-position model. The record is from RNAcentral.
ACGAACGCUGGCGGCGUGCUUAACACAUGCAAGCCGAACGGAAAGGCCCUGCUUUUGUGGGGUGCUCGAGUGGCGAACGGGUGAGUAACACGUGAGUAACCUGCCCUUGACUUUGGGAUAACUUCAGGAAACUGGGGCUAAUACCGGAUAGGAGCUCCUGCUGCAUGGUGGGGGUUGGAAAGUUUCGGCGGUUGGGGAUGGACUCGCGGCUUAUCAGCUUGUUGGUGGGGUAGUGGCUUACCAAGGCUUUGACGGGUAGCCGGCCUGAGGGGGUGACCGGCCACAUUGGGACUGGAAUCCGGCCCAGACUCCUACGGGAGGCAGCAGGGGGGAAUAUUGCAAAAGGGGGGGAAGCCUGAUGCAGCAACGCCGCGGGCGGGAGGGCGGCCUUCGGGUUGUAAACCGCUUUCGCCUGGGACGAAGCGUGGGUGACGGUAAUGGGUAAAGAAGCCCCGGCUAACUACGU